GACCCUGCUGGUUGUCAAUACAUGGGUUACCCGUCGAUCCCGGGACGCGAAGGAAAGUAUUUCCUGCGCACCAGCGAGACCUCGCCGUUCGCCCUCGGGGAUGACCAGUGAUCGACACUCUGCGACCUCCGCUCGUUCCCGGUCGUGGUGUGAUACUCCAAUAAAAGCAUCUUUAUUA
RNAcentral lists this long non-coding RNA (178 nucleotides) under Penaeus japonicus. RNAcentral's name for it is "uncharacterized LOC122245750". The record is from RNAcentral. Lineage: Eukaryota; Metazoa; Arthropoda; Malacostraca; Decapoda; Penaeidae.